This 253-nucleotide ribosomal RNA is filed under the name uncultured bacterium. Its description in RNAcentral is "partial 16S ribosomal RNA". It matches the Rfam family "Bacterial small subunit ribosomal RNA", at positions 524 to 776 of the family's 1533-position model. The record is from RNAcentral.
UACAGAGGGGGCAAGCGUUGUUCGGAAUUACUGGGCGUAAAGGGCGCGUAGGCGGCCUUCUAAGUCGAACGUGAAAUCCCUGGGCUCAACCCAGGAACUGCGUCCGAUACUGGAAGGCUUGAAUCCGGGAGAGGGAUGCGGAAUUCCAGGUGUAGCGGUGAAAUGCGUAGAUAUCUGGAGGAACACCGGUGGCGAAGGCGGCGUUCUGGACUGUUACUGACACUGAGGAACGAAAGCCAGGGGAGCAAACGGG